RNAcentral lists this ribosomal RNA (492 nucleotides) under uncultured bacterium. RNAcentral's name for it is "partial 16S ribosomal RNA". It matches the Rfam family "Bacterial small subunit ribosomal RNA", at positions 29 to 507 of the family's 1533-position model. The record is from RNAcentral.
AGUGAACGCUGGCGGUGGGCCUAACACAUGCAAGUCGAACGGCAGCACAGUAAGAGCUUGCUCUUACGGGUGGCGAGUGGCGGACGGGUGAGGAAUACAUCGGAAUCUACUUUUUCGUGGGGGAUAACGUAGGGAAACUUACUCUAAUACCGCAUACGACCUACGGGUGAAAGCAGGGGAUCUUCGGACUUUGCGCGAUUGAAUGAGCCGAUGUCGGAUUAGCUAGUUGGCGGGGUAAAGGCCCACCAAGGCGACGAUCCGUAGCUGGUCUGAGAGGAUGAUCAGCCACAUUGGAACUGAGACACGGUCCAGACUCCUACGAGAGGCAGCAGUGGGGAAUAUGGGACAAUAGGCGGAAGCCUGAUCCAGCCAUACCGAGUGGGUGAAGAAGGCCUUCGGGUUGUAAAGACCUUUUGUUGGGAAAGAAAAGCAGCAGGUUAAUACCCCGCUGUUCUGACGGUACCGAAAGAAUAAGCACCGGCUAACUUCGUG